UACAGAGGGUGCAAGCGUUAAUCGGAAUGACUGGGCGUAAAGGGCGCGUAGGCGGUUAAUUAAGUUAGAUGUGAAAUACCCGGGCUUAACCUGGGUGCUGCAUAUAAUACUGGUUAGCUAGAGUAGAGUAGAGGGAAGAGGAAUUUCCGGUGUAGCGGUGAAAUGCGUAGAGAUCGGGAAGAACACCAGUGGCGAAGGCGGUCUGCUGGGCCGUAGCUGACGCUGAGGCGCGACAGCGUGGGGAGCAAACAGG
RNAcentral lists this ribosomal RNA (253 nucleotides) under uncultured bacterium. RNAcentral's name for it is "partial 16S ribosomal RNA". It matches the Rfam family "Bacterial small subunit ribosomal RNA", at positions 524 to 776 of the family's 1533-position model. The record is from RNAcentral.